GGGGGGCUCGAGUUCACUCCAACCCAUGUGACAUACCUCAUCGUUGCCUCGGCAGGUCGUGCUUACCCUGUAGUGCCUACCCUGGAAGCCCCUACCCUGUAGGAGCUACCCUGGAGGCGCUGCCCGGUAGCACGCUCCAGGCCUGCCGGCGGCCCCCUAAACUCUGUUUAUUUUGGAACUCUGAAUCAAUAUCUAAAUAAGUUAAAACUUUCAACAACGGAUCUCUUGGUUCUGGCAUCGAUGAAGAACGCAGCGAAAUGCGAUAAGUAAUGUGAAUUGCAGAAUUCAGUGAAUCAUCGAAUCUUUGAACGCACAUUGCGCCCAUUAGUAUUCUAGUGGGCAUGCCUGUUCGAGCGUCAUUUCAACCCUUAAGCCCUGUUGCUUAGUGUUGGGAACUUACAGCACUGUAAUUCCCCAAAGUUAGUGGCGGAGUUAGGUCAUACUCUGAGCGUAGUAAUUUUUCUCGCUUCUGAAGUGGCCCGGCCCCUGCCGUAAAACCCCUAAUUUUCUAUGGUUGACCUCGGAUCAGGUAGGAAUACCCGCUGAACUUAAGCAUAUCAAUAAGCGGAGGAA
RNAcentral lists this ribosomal RNA (573 nucleotides) under Xylaria sp. DFFSCS036. RNAcentral's name for it is "eukaryotic LSU rRNA". The stretch from base 206 to 359 matches the Rfam family "5.8S ribosomal RNA". The record is from RNAcentral. Lineage: Eukaryota; Fungi; Ascomycota; Sordariomycetes; Xylariales; Xylariaceae.